CAGUAGCCGCGGUAAUACGUAGGGGGCGAGCGUUGUCCGGAAUUAUUGGGCGUAAAGCGCGUGUAGGCGGCUCAGCAAGUCCGCUCUGAAAGCCCAGGGCUCAACCCUGGGAUGCGGGUGGAUACUGCUGAGCUCGAGUCCGGAAGAGGCGAGUGGAAUUCCUGGUGUAGCGGUGAAAUGCGCAGAUAUCAGGAGGAACACCAAUGGCGAAGGCAGCUCGCUGGGACGUGACUGACGCUGAGACGCGAAAGCGUGGGGAGCAAACAGGAUUAGAUACCCCCGUAGUCCCUGUCUCUUAUAC
This 301-nucleotide ribosomal RNA is filed under the name uncultured bacterium. RNAcentral's name for it is "partial 16S ribosomal RNA". It matches the Rfam family "Bacterial small subunit ribosomal RNA", at positions 509 to 807 of the family's 1533-position model. The record is from RNAcentral.